RNAcentral lists this ribosomal RNA (544 nucleotides) under uncultured Glomus. Its description in RNAcentral is "SSU rRNA". It matches the Rfam family "Eukaryotic small subunit ribosomal RNA", at positions 548 to 1093 of the family's 1831-position model. Lineage: Eukaryota; Fungi; Glomeromycota; Glomeromycetes; Glomerales; Glomeraceae. The record is from RNAcentral.
UUGGAGGGCAAGUCUGGUGCCAGCAGCCGCGGUAAUUCCAGCUCCAAUAGCGUAUAUUAAAGUUGUUGCAGUUAAAAAGCUCGUAGUUGAAUUUCGGGGUCAGUAGGUUGGUCGUGCCACAGGUAUGAACUGGCCUCACUGAUUCCUCCUUCCUGAUGAACCGUAAUGCCAUUAAUUUGGUGUUGCGGGGAGACUGGACUGUUACUUUGAAAAAAUUAGAGUGUUUAAAGCAGGCUAACGCUUGAAUACAUUAGCAUGGAAUAAUGAAAUAGGACGUUCGGUCUUAUUUUGUUGGUUUCUAAGAUUGACGUAAUGAUUAAUAGGGAUAGUUGGGGGCAUUAGUAUUCAAUUGUCAGAGGUGAAAUUCUUGGAUUUAUUGAAGACUAACUACUGCGAAAGCAUUUGCCAAGGAUGUUUUCAUUAAUCAAGAACGAAAGUUAGGGGAUCGAAGACGAUCAGAUACCGUCGUAGUCUUAACCAUAAACUAUGCCGACUAGGGAUCGGAUGACGUUAAUUUUUUAAUGACUCAUUCGGCGCCUUACGG